Molecule: long non-coding RNA, 355 nt
Organism: Amphiprion ocellaris (clown anemonefish)
Lineage: Eukaryota; Metazoa; Chordata; Actinopteri; Pomacentridae
Source: Ensembl
CAUGUAGUUCUCCAUGUAGUUCUCCAUGUAGGUCUCCAUGUUGGUCUCCAUGAUGUUCUCCAUGUAGGUCUCCGUGUUGGUCUCCGUGUUGGUCUCCAUGUAGGUCUCCGUGUUGUUCUCCGUGUUGGUCUCCGUGUUGUUCUCCAUGUUGGUCUCCGUGUUGGUCUCCGUGUUGGUCUCCAUGUAGGUCUCCGUGUUGUUCUCCAUGUUGGUCUCCGUGUUGUUCUCCAUGUUGUUCUCCGUGUUGGUCUCCGUGUUGGUCUCCGUGUUGUUCUCCAUGUUGUUCUCCGUGUUGGUCUCCCUGUUGGUCUCCAUAAAUUUCAAAUUUUUGCUGUAAUGAUUCUGCUAAAAAAAA